CACCAAUCGUGCGCGCCCGUUUCUGUGACGGACAGGCGCGGCGGCGAGCAGGAAGAAGGGUGAGCGCGGGGUCGGUUGGGCUCCUCGGAGGGCGCCGCCGGGGCCAUGGCCCUGAGCUGGAGGGAAGUGUUCAUAGGGAAAGUACUGAAACGACUCUAUCCUGAAACUUCAUCAUCUUCUCUUGCACAUACUUCGACUAAAGAAGAAGAGGUGGGUCCCAGAAAUCUGGGCUCAAAAUCCAAAGAAGAGGAUUUGAAUAACGUUCAGACUUCAUCAGCAGAGGCUAGCACAUCAACUGCUACACUCGGUAAAUCAUUUGAAGGUAGUGACAAUACGGUUCUGUCUCCAAGGAGAGUGUACACAGUGAAUCUUCCUCCAGAGGGUUACGUCUCAGUUACUCCAGAUGCUGUUAGUAUUUCAGUUUCCGAAAACUCAGACAGUAGUGCUGACUCAACAGAGGAGGAAUAUCAAGGACAGACUAAGAGAAAGCGGAUUCGAAGAAAGAAACAAAAGAACAGUUUGCAAAGCUCUAAUAAUUUACAUGGAGAACAAACAGAAUCUGGAAUGCAAGAGACUCUUGUUCAAGAUAAUUUACAGCUGCAGCAGCAGAUAGACAUUCCUAAAGUAAGCAAAAACAAAAAGAGGAAAAUGAAAAAGAAGCGACGGAAAGAAAAAAUGAGAGCAGCUGGCUUGGUAACAAAAACUACCGGUGUGGAUUUUACAUAUCAGCCUGACAAAAACAACGGAGAAGACUUAAAAGGCUUAAAAGACAUAGAUGAAAAGGCAGAUAGCAUUCUGGACUUCUUGCAAGCAACACAACAAAUAUAUUUUGCUGACAAUAAAGCAAAAUGCACAGAUUCUGCUGUAAAUUCAACAGCUGCCCAAGAGCUUUUACGGUGUCUUGAAUCUCGCACCAUCUCUCCGUCAGAUGUGACUCUUCUACAUCAGUUGAAAUCCCUUGUAUUGCUACAGGAUAUUGAGAGAUUGGAGGAUGCUUUGAAAACAUUCCGAGAACAAUCCAUGAUGACUCCUGAUCACACCAAGAUAGUCACAUCUCUGUUUCACUACUGGAUUACAGAUAUCCUUCCUGUGAAGAACAGGAAAUAAAACCUUACCCGUGUCCAUGUUGUCCAUCUCAACCACGACACCAUGUCCACAGAAUUUAAAUUUAAUAUACAAACUCUUAAUCGGGUAGCGAUUGGUCAGGAAGAGCAGUGUCCAUACACAUUCUACACCUUCAGUCCCACAUCUGCAGAAUGAAGAAAAUACCUCUUGAAUGUGAAGUACCUGGAUAUUCUAUUGACAGACCCCACAGGAAAUUAAUCACUUCAUCCUCAGAUUAAGGUUUGAAUGUCAUGCAGUAAAUGAGGCCAAGGAACUGCACAAAAAGGAUAUGCAGCAAUUCAUUAGGAAGCCGUUGCCUGGGAGUGUAAAAGGGAGAAGGAGAAGAGUAAGGAGCUGUUGUACAGCCGUAAUUGGAACUCACCCAACAUGAUCUGAGGAGGUGCUUCUCCUGCUCUUCCUCUUGUUCCCUUCAUGUGAUCAUGCACAAAGUGGCCUCCAUCUCUUCUCAGGCAGGCUCAGUAAAAGAUUGCUGUGUAAUUGAUUCCUCCUCCCAGUAGCGCUAAGUAAAAGCAAAUAUAAAUGCACAGAGGAGUAACCAUUGCUAGGAAGAUCAAACGGAUCACCCAUUGCUUGUGUUCUAGAGAGUGAAUCAAUAGCAAACAUAUUUUUUCAGCAUCACAGGUGUAAUCACCGAACUCUGUAGGCCCAGCAAUAGCUGUUUGAUCUCUGUCUGGCAUGUUGGAGCUUAAAAUGAAGGUCAUAUUCAAAUCUGAUUGGAAUUCAGGGUAGGCAUCUUAGCUUAUUACCAUUAUUAUAGUGCUAGAUUCUACUUACAUUGGUAAACAGUUUAAAAUACUUGACAUGUUAUUCAAUUAAAUCAGUGAUUGCUAACUGACAGACCAAAGUGCAUUGAUUUUUCCAACCACAUUAAACUAAGUACAUGGCACAGUGUUUCAUUAGCCUGUCUGCUUAACCCUUUCACAUUUAAUUCAAUUACCCAGUAUAAAAUUAAAGUGUAAAAUAUUUAAUAAUUCUGGAUUUCUAAAUUAGAAGGCAUUGCAAGGAUAUAUUCAUCUCAAUAGUUUCUGACAUAUAUUUAUUACUGGGUGAUUUACAGUCUGCUAUAUAUCAUGUUGUUAUCCAGACGGCAAAAGUCACUCAGAAAGUUUUUUCUCUGUAUUCACUCAGUAAAUGGACACAUUCAUAGAGCGUAAGAUUAAAAGGACAUGAGAUUAUAUUUUUUGACCCCAUCCAGAUCCCUGCUCAUAAAUUUUCCUUUUACUUCAGGGUGAAGACCAGUAACUUGAGACUGACAAAAGCACAAUUUGUGUAUUUUGCUAGAGCAAGUCUUCUGCAGAGACAGGCAAGGUUGGUUUAAAGAC
This is an RNA transcript of Columba livia (rock pigeon), 2447 nucleotides long. It is a transcript of the gene named glutamate rich 1, with no coding region annotated. The record is from RefSeq and is a predicted model, not a curated record. NCBI's taxonomy places the organism in Eukaryota, Metazoa, Chordata, Aves, Columbiformes, Columbidae. The transcript is spliced from 8 exons.